AUGUAACGCAAUGGAUAGCGCGUUGGACUUCUUAUACAACGUUCGUGGGAUUGAAUCCCACCUGGUAUG
This is a non-coding RNA of Trichonephila inaurata madagascariensis, 69 nucleotides long. The record is from the annotation of a GenBank genome assembly. NCBI's taxonomy places the organism in Eukaryota, Metazoa, Arthropoda, Arachnida, Araneae, Nephilidae.